This 115-nucleotide ribosomal RNA is filed under the name uncultured bacterium. Its description in RNAcentral is "partial 16S ribosomal RNA". It matches the Rfam family "Bacterial small subunit ribosomal RNA", at positions 1355 to 1482 of the family's 1533-position model. The record is from RNAcentral.
UACUGCGGUGAAUACGUUCCCGGGUCUUGUACACACCGCCCGUCAAACCACGAAAGUCGCCAACACCCGAAGUUCGAAUUUACUUCGACCUAAGGUGGGGGAGAUGAUUGGGGUU